UCCCUGGUGGCUCAGAUGGUAAAGCGUCUGCCUGCAACGCUGGAGACCUGGGUUUGAUCCCUGGGUCGGGAA
Ovis aries (sheep) is the source of this 72-nucleotide transfer RNA. It matches the Rfam family "tRNA". From Rfam's summary of the family: Transfer RNA (tRNA) molecules are approximately 80 nucleotides in length. NCBI's taxonomy places the organism in Eukaryota, Metazoa, Chordata, Mammalia, Artiodactyla, Bovidae. The record is from Rfam.